UUGUCUUUCUCACUGUGUAGAUAUGCCAUUACCGUGUGGUAUUUUGAUGCUGAUGAGCGGGCGAGAGCUAAAGAAAAGUACCAAACAGGUGCAGGUGAAAAAGGAGUGAAGGUGGAGCUAAACAAGCCGUCUGAACCAAGCUAAUCAAAUCAUCAUUAAUCCUGACUUUUCCUGGUUACCAGCUGCGUGGA
Long non-coding RNA from Cyprinus carpio (common carp), 191 nucleotides. RefSeq lists it as uncharacterized. The record is from RefSeq and is a predicted model, not a curated record. The transcript is spliced from 2 exons. NCBI's taxonomy places the organism in Eukaryota, Metazoa, Chordata, Actinopteri, Cypriniformes, Cyprinidae.